RNAcentral lists this long non-coding RNA (1442 nucleotides) under Equus asinus (donkey). RNAcentral's name for it is "lncRNA (ENSEASG00005024631.1)". Lineage: Eukaryota; Metazoa; Chordata; Mammalia; Perissodactyla; Equidae. The record is from RNAcentral.
CCACCACAGUCACUGCCGGCGUGUGGCCCCCCUCUCUCAGGAGGCUCUGUGCUCCUCUGGGGCAGGGGCCCUUCUUCCUUCUCUUUCUACUCCCAGAGCCCAGUGCAGGCCUUGGCACUAGGAGGCAUGUCUCCGUCAGCCCAGGUUGCGGUAACAAACUCCACAGAGUGGGGGGCUUGCACAGCAGACAUUCAUUUCUCAUGGUUCUGCAGCUGGAGGUCUGAGACCAGGGUGUCGGGUCGUCAGCUCCCGGUGACGGCUGGCUUCCUUGUUUGCAGAUGGUUGCCUUCUCGCUGCAUCUUCAUGUAGUAGAGAGAGAGAUCAUCUCUCUGGUACCUCCUUAUCAGGGCACUAAUCCCAUCAUGAGGGCUCCAACCUCAUGACCUAAUUACCUCCCAAAGACACCCCCUCCAAUAUCAUCACAUUGGAGCUAGGGCCUCAACAUAUGAAUUUUGGGGAACAUAAGCAUACAAUUCAUAGGGGGAGAUGGCAAGAAAUAUUUGCUAAAGGAAUAAAUAGUGUGGAGAAGACUGCGGUGGGGGAGGGAAGCAUGCCAGGAUGAACUCGGGGCAGGUGUGUGGAAGGGGGGCCGGGGGUGGCCUCAAGCUGGCUUUCCUGGCCUGGCCUGUUGCAUCGCUUCUCUCUGGGCUCCAUGGGAUUCUGCAGCUGUUUGUGCGUCACAGAGCCGAGCUCCACGUUCUCAUCUGCUGCUCUUCUCCGCAUUCCAAACACUCGUUCAUGCUGAAGUUAUACCAACACUUGCCCGGUCGUCAUUUGCGGAAGGAUUCACCGAAUUCUGUCACCCCGUGACUGGGGGCAGCUGUUCCUGGGCCACCAGACGUCGCCAUUUCCUUGACAAGGAGGCUUCUGUGGAGCAACAGCUGUUUUCCUCAUCAUUUCAGAGGGAGCAGGCCAGGAGCCAACCUUGGGCAGAAGCGAUGUCUCUUUGGUAACAAAUGGAUUUGUUUUAGCUGAAGAGUUGGCUGUAAGGAUAAAAGAAAGUCCAGAAUUUUAAGUGGCUGUGUCUUUUUCAUUUCUAUGAUUCUGCCUCAAAGUACGGUGCCUGGCACCUAAUAGACACGGAAUUAAAUAUUCAUUGCCUAAACAAAGGUGAGGACGAAUGAAUGAGGAAAGCCUUCCGUAAGGGAAGCGGUCGAAUUCUCUAAGGUGCUUUUGCAGAAGACGGCGGUGACAGUGAUGAGGAAUCAGGACCAACAUGUUCAAGGUCAUCCGGCUCGGAAGGGGCAGAGGCUGCAGUCGACCCAGGCAGUCAGCUUUAAAGGGGCUCCUCCGAGGCGCUGGGCUUCCGCCUUGUGCUCUGGCACUUGUUGAAGAUGAACAUAGCGCCCCCAUUACAUCGGAAGCAGGUUCUAGCCUAUCAGGGAGGGGUGCUGGAGAGCCCCGAAUACAACCAAGCAUGCUGGGAAAGGCGGGAGCGUUCC